AUGGUGUCCGAUGAUUGGAAGGGAAGUACUUGGAACGGUGUUGCUGAUUAUGUGUUCGCUGAAGAGCUGCUAUCUAGUAAUAUGUGGUGGGCAGCUUUAGAGUGGGUUCUUGCUGUGCUAGAGCCACUCUACAAAGCCCUUAGAUAUGCUGAUACACAAAAGAGAUGCACCCUAUCUGGAUUCAAGAAGAGUAUGAUGACAGCCAUACAAAAGUUGGAAAGUCAUCUUGGUGGUGGAUCACAAAUGUUUCAUAGAGUCAUGAGCAAGGUGUCCAAGAGGAUCGAUGCUAUGCAAGAAGGCACACUAUUGGUUGCAGAUGCCAUUGAGAAGAUCGCAGACCCUGAGACCGCUGUUUUGGCUAUUGAUGAAGUCAGCACUUACAGAGAAUGUCGUGGGAGGUUUGGCUCAAGGUUGGCACGUUCCUCUGUAGAGAAAAUGUCACCAACUGAGUGGUGGUUCCAAUUUGGAGGGGAAGUUCCUAAUCUGCAGAAGUGUGCCUUGAGGAUUGUAUCACAAUGCGUUUCGUCAAGUGGCUGUGAGAGGAAUUGGAGCGCUUUUGCUUUGGUCCACACGAAGCAAAGAAACCGUCUUCUAUAUGGCAAGCUGCACAAGCUUGUAUCUGUGCGCUACAACUUGAAGAUACGUGCUGAAGAAGAAGAAGACCCGGUGAGAGAGAAUGAUAAGCAGAAGGAAGUUGAUGCAUGUGCAAUGAUGAUGGAUACAACCAUGUUUGAUGCAACAAAUCCUAUGAUGGAAUGGUUGAAUGAGGAUGAGGAGCAUGCAAUCUUGGAUGGAGUUGAUGCUGCUAGCGCCGUGUUUGAGAAAAUACGUUUGCUUAACUCAAGUAGGAAAGUGUCUCGUCUUGCAAGGAAGGAUAAUGGCAGGAAAAGAAAGAGGGUAGAGGAAGAAGAGGAUGACUACCAUGAUAGUGAGGAUGAUGAUGAAGAGAAUGAGGAGCUGGACCUGGAAAUUAAUGAUGAUGGUAGCCAUGAUGAUGGUGCAAGAAGUCCGAAGUGA
This 1017-nucleotide ribosomal RNA is filed under the name Triticum aestivum (bread wheat). Its description in RNAcentral is "partial small subunit ribosomal RNA". Lineage: Eukaryota; Viridiplantae; Streptophyta; Magnoliopsida; Poales; Poaceae. The record is from RNAcentral.